RNAcentral lists this ribosomal RNA (252 nucleotides) under Staphylococcus aureus. RNAcentral describes it as "partial 16S ribosomal RNA". It matches the Rfam family "Bacterial small subunit ribosomal RNA", at positions 1283 to 1533 of the family's 1533-position model. The record is from RNAcentral. Lineage: Bacteria; Bacillati; Bacillota; Bacilli; Caryophanales; Staphylococcaceae.
UGUUCUCAGUUCGGAUUGUAGUCUGCAACUCGACUACAUGAAGCUGGAAUCGCUAGUAAUCGUAGAUCAGCAUGCUACGGUGAAUACGUUCCCGGGUCUUGUACACACCGCCCGUCACACCACGAGAGUUUGUAACACCCGAAGCCGGUGGAGUAACCUUUUAGGAGCUAGCCGUCGAAGGUGGGACAAAUGAUUGGGGUGAAGUCGUAACAAGGUAGCCGUAUCGGAAGGUGCGGCUGGAUCACCUCCUUU